RNAcentral lists this transfer RNA (76 nucleotides) under Podarcis lilfordi (Lilford's wall lizard). RNAcentral describes it as "tRNA.Ile". The record is from RNAcentral. Lineage: Eukaryota; Metazoa; Chordata; Lepidosauria; Squamata; Lacertidae.
AUCCCUGGAUGGCUCAGUUGGUUAGAGCGGGGUGCUGAUAAUGUCAAGGUUGCAGGUUUGAUCCCCGUGUGGGAUC